GCAGUCGAUCCACAAUGCGGAAGAGCAACUGCUGCGCUUUGGAUGUGACCAGCAGGAGGCUCCAAUGCUUCACUACACAGCCUGGCUCACAAGGUUCAAGAAAGACAGACAAACAACUGAUUGUUUCUUGACUCCACAGGAUGUCUCCCAUGUAGUCCAGCGCUCUGGUCACCAUGGCAGAACGCUCAGACAAAACCUGCAGUCUGCUGUACACCAUGCCUACAGCCUGACGCAAAAAAGAAGCAGAUGAACGAUUGAAAAGUUUGGAAACCUUGUGCUGCACUACUGUUGACCAAAUACGGCACGGACAUUUUCAGAAUGAAUAAACGGACGGACGGACAGAUGGACAGAGAGACAGACAUAAAAGGUCAGGUAUGAAUUUCACAAUACAGUGGUACCUUGACUUACAAGAUUCUUUUUUUCAUUACCAAGCUCCUAACUCAAUUUACUAACCCUUACUCAAAUUUUGACUCGUAACACAAAGCAAAAAAACAAAAACAAAAAUAAAUCCACCAGGCGACAGCUCGUAACUCAGGGGCACUCGUGAGUCAAGGUAUCACUGUGUGUUUAAAGACCCUGUAAAGUCAUUUCUGUUUUGUUUUUUUCCCUAAAUAGAUUUAUGUUGGAAGCUAUGUGUUAAAAAUGUGAAAAGACUGAGAACAAUUUAGUACUGAUUUGCUGAUAUACAUUGAAAAAUUGUUUUCACCUUCUCUGUUGUUUGUUUGGGCAGGGCUAAAACAGGAGUGCUCUGACACAACCAGGGAAGAGCAUGUGUCGGCUCUCCCGCACUAUAUAAGUACUGAGUGCCUUCAGUGGCUAUUUGGCGCAAUUACCAUUUCCUCAUUCAUAAUAACUUGGUCCAUUUCUACCACUACAGUGUGCAGUUGGCCAUCAAGCUAUGCCUACAACCCGAAAAAAAAUCGAUCUUCCUUGAAGUGUUAUGUGUUUUGUGUUGAGCUACAGCAUCUCUGCCACGUGCCCUCAUGCCCACUCUGAGCAACACCGCGGUGAACCCGACAGUUCCGCCGCCGCGCAUGAGACUGCUAGUUAGCAGCAACCCGCAGUCCAGCACAACAGCGUUGGGACCUGUCCAACUCGCAACAGCUGCGCCCUGCAAGGGCCCUCACAACGUAGACACUUCAGGGAAAGAUGUGGAAGGUACCGCGUGACAACAAGUGGAUCAACCAUGUCAUCCCAGCCGAAGCAUUGCAAGAUGGACUGAACUGGAUUGGGUUGAAGGUCCUGGGGUGCAGAAGUGGGCAGCUCAAAGGCCAG
This is a long non-coding RNA of Phyllopteryx taeniolatus (common seadragon), 1275 nucleotides long. RefSeq lists it as uncharacterized. The transcript has 3 exons. Lineage: Eukaryota; Metazoa; Chordata; Actinopteri; Syngnathiformes; Syngnathidae. The record is from RefSeq and is a predicted model, not a curated record.